CCUUAAAAAUUUCACUAUAAUCUUUUAACUAUAGUGUGUUUAUUUUUUUGGACUCACAAACAAAUCCAGUUGAUUUUUCUGGGCUUACCAACCACAACCCUAUAUCGAUAGUUUUUCAGGCUCACUAUCAAUCCAGUUGAUUUUUCAGGCUCACCAAUUAAAACUUACAAUGAUUGUUUUUUUGAACUAAUAAUCAACCCAC
This 202-nucleotide long non-coding RNA is filed under the name Elaeis guineensis (African oil palm). RNAcentral's name for it is "long non-coding RNA (EGUI_LNC025811)". Lineage: Eukaryota; Viridiplantae; Streptophyta; Magnoliopsida; Arecales; Arecaceae. The record is from RNAcentral.